RNAcentral lists this ribosomal RNA (253 nucleotides) under uncultured bacterium. RNAcentral's name for it is "partial 16S ribosomal RNA". It matches the Rfam family "Bacterial small subunit ribosomal RNA", at positions 524 to 776 of the family's 1533-position model. The record is from RNAcentral.
UACGUAGGGUGCAAGCGUUGUCCGGAAUUAUUGGGCGUAAAGAGCUCGUAGGCGGUCUGUCGCGUCGGCUGUGAAAUCCCGAGGCUCAACCUCGGGUCUGCAGUCGAUACGGGCAAACUGGAGUGUUGCAGGGGAGACUGGAAUUCCUGAUGUAGCGGUGAAAUGCGCAGAUAUCAGGAGGAACACCGGUGGCGAAGGCGGGUCUCUGGGCCGAUAUUGACGCUGAGGAGCGAAAGCGUGGGGAGCGAACAGG